RNAcentral lists this ribosomal RNA (496 nucleotides) under uncultured bacterium. Its description in RNAcentral is "partial 16S ribosomal RNA". It matches the Rfam family "Bacterial small subunit ribosomal RNA", at positions 28 to 506 of the family's 1533-position model. The record is from RNAcentral.
GAUGAACGCUGGCGGCGUGCCUAAUACAUGCAAGUCGAGCGAACGGACGAGAAGCUUGCUUCUCUGAUGUUAGCGGCGGACGGGUGAGUAACACGUGGAUAACCUACCUAUAAGACUGGGAUAACUUCGGGAAACCGGAGCUAAUACCGGAUAAUAUUUUGAACCGCAUGGUUCAAAAGUGAAAGACGGUCUUGCUGUCACUUAUAGAUGGAUCCGCGCUGCAUUAGCUAGUUGGUAAGGUAACGGCUUACCAAGGCAACGAUGCAUAGCCGACCUGAGAGGGUGAUCGGCCACACUGGAACUGAGACACGGUCCAGACUCCUAGGGGAGGCAGAAGUAGGGAAUCUUCCGCACUGGGCGAAAGCCUGACGGAGCAACGCCGCGUGAGUGAUGAAGGUCUUCGGAUCGUAAAACUCUGUUAUUAGGGAAGAACAUAUGUGUAAGUAACUGUGCACAUCUUGACGGUACCUAAUCAGAAAGCCACGGCUAACUACGU